GCUAAUUUGACUCAACACGGGGAACCUCAUCAGGCCAGGACACCGGAAGGAUUGACAGAUUGAGAGCUCUUUCUUGAUUCGGUGGGUGGUGGUGCAUGGCCGUUCUUAGUUCGUGGAGUGAUUUGUCUGCUUAAUUGCGAUAACGAACGAGAUCCUACCCUACUAACUAGUCGAAACCGGCAUCCCCUGUGCAGCCGGCGACCAACACUCUUCUUAGAGGGACAGGCGGCUUCCAGCCGCAGGAAGUGGGGCAAUAACAGGUCUGUAAUGCCCUUAGAUGUUCUGGGCAGCACGCGCGCUACACUGAAGGGAUCAACGUGUGUUUUCCUUGCUCGAGAGGGCCGGGUAACCCGUUGAAACUCCUUCGUGCUAGGGAUUGGGGCUUGCAAUUAUUCCCCACCAACGAGGAAUGCCUAGUAAGCGGGAAUCAUUACUUCCUGCUAUAAGUCGUCCCCUA
This 457-nucleotide ribosomal RNA is filed under the name Mitius enatus. Its description in RNAcentral is "SSU rRNA". It matches the Rfam family "Eukaryotic small subunit ribosomal RNA", at positions 1188 to 1651 of the family's 1831-position model. The record is from RNAcentral. Lineage: Eukaryota; Metazoa; Arthropoda; Insecta; Orthoptera; Gryllidae.